CUCCCUCUCUCUGUGCGGCUCUGAAGUGUGAACGAUGCAGGCGAUUUCGAGACGAUUAGGUCACCAGGCUAUCUCUCCCGCAGCUUCAACUGCAUCUCUCAAAUCAAUUAACCCGCUCUAUUAUGGAGCUGAUCACCCACGGUAUGGAUCUACUCUCGCUCCCAAAGGUGUGGGCCACCUCGUUCGCAAGGGUACUGGUGGAAGAUCUUCUGUUAGUGGCAUUAUUGCUACAGUGUUUGGAGCUACUGGGUUCCUUGGUCGUUACCUUGUGCAGCAACUUGCUAAAAUGGGAUCUCAAGUGUUAGUUCCUUUCCGAGGUUCUGAGGAUUGUCAUCGCCAUCUCAAAUUGAUGGGUGAUUUGGGUCAGAUCGUACCAAUGAAGUAUGAACCAAGAGAUGAAAAUUCAAUUAAGGCUGUUAUGGCAAAGGCCAAUGUUGUUAUUAAUCUUAUUGGAAGGGAAUAUGAGACAAGAAACUACAGUUUUGAGCAAGUGAACCAUGCGAUGGCUGAACAACUUGCAAUGAUUGCUAAAGAACAUGGAGGUAUCAUGAGAUAUAUUCAAGUUUCAUGCUUAGGAGCUUCUUCUUCAUCUCCAUCAAGAAUGCUAAGAGCUAAAGCUGCUGCAGAAGAAGCUGUGUUAAGAGAAAUACCUGAGGCCACAGUUGUGAAACCUGCUGUUAUGAUUGGUACAGAGGAUCGAAUUCUUAAUCGGUGGGCCCAUUUUGCAAAAAAAUAUUCAUUUCUUCCACUUAUUGGAGAUGGAUCUACCAAAAUCCAACCUGUAUAUGUUGUUGAUGUAGCUGCUGCAAUUGUUGCAGCCCUGAAAGAUGAUGGAACCAGCAUGGGAAAAGUUUA
Molecule: unclassified non-coding RNA, 855 nt
Filed under: Hevea brasiliensis (rubber tree)
Lineage: Eukaryota; Viridiplantae; Streptophyta; Magnoliopsida; Malpighiales; Euphorbiaceae
Source: RNAcentral